RNAcentral lists this ribosomal RNA (492 nucleotides) under uncultured bacterium. RNAcentral's name for it is "partial 16S ribosomal RNA". It matches the Rfam family "Bacterial small subunit ribosomal RNA", at positions 29 to 507 of the family's 1533-position model. The record is from RNAcentral.
AGUGAACGCUGGCGGUAGGCCUAACACAUGCAAGUCGAACGGCAGCACAGUAAGAGCUUGCUCUUACGGGUGGCGAGUGGCGGACGGGUGAGGAAUACAUCGGAAUCUACUUUUUCGUGGGGGAUAACGUAGGGAAACUUACGCUAAUACCGCAUACGACCUACGGGUGAAAGCAGGGGAUCUUCGGACCUUGCGCGAUUGAAUGAGCCGAUGUCGGAUUAGCUAGUUGGCGGGGUAAAGGCCCACCAAGGCGACGAUCCGUAGCUGGUCUGAGAGGAUGAUCAGCCACACUGGAACUGAGACACGGUCCAGACUCCUACGGGAGGCAGCAGUGGGGAAUAUUGGGCAAAGGGCGCAAGCCUGACCCAGCCAUACCGCGUGGGUGAAGAAGGCCUUCGGGUUGUAAAGCCCUUUUGUUGGGAAAGAAAAGCAGCAGGUUAAUACCCCGCUGUUCUGACGGUACCCAAAGAAUAAGCACCGGCUAACUUCGUG